CCCUUGGUAGCUCAGUUGGUAGAGCGGUGGACUGUAGUAGGGCUAUUCAGAGAUCCAUAGGUCGCUGGUUCAAAUCCGGCCCGAGGGA
RNAcentral lists this transfer RNA (88 nucleotides) under Trialeurodes vaporariorum (greenhouse whitefly). RNAcentral's name for it is "tRNA-Tyr for anticodon GUA". It matches the Rfam family "tRNA". From Rfam's summary of the family: Transfer RNA (tRNA) molecules are approximately 80 nucleotides in length. Their secondary structure includes four short double-helical elements and three loops (D, anti-codon, and T loops). The record is from RNAcentral. Lineage: Eukaryota; Metazoa; Arthropoda; Insecta; Hemiptera; Aleyrodidae.